RNAcentral lists this ribosomal RNA (506 nucleotides) under uncultured bacterium. RNAcentral's name for it is "partial 16S ribosomal RNA". It matches the Rfam family "Bacterial small subunit ribosomal RNA", at positions 29 to 523 of the family's 1533-position model. The record is from RNAcentral.
AGUGAACGCUGGCGGUAGGCCUAACACAUGCAAGUCGAACGGCAGCACAGGAGAGCUUGCUCUCUGGGUGGCGAGUGGCGGACGGGUGAGGAAUACAUCGGAAUCUACUUUUUCGUGGGGGAUAACGUAGGGAAACUUACGCUAAUACCGCAUACGACCUACGGGUGAAAGCAGGGGACCUUCGGGCCUUGCGCGAUUGAAUGAGCCGAUGUCGGAUUAGCUAGUUGGCGGGGUAAAGGCCCACCAAGGCGACGAUCCGUAGCUGGUCUGAGAGGAUGAACUGCCACAGUGGAACUGAGACACGGUCCAGACUCCUACGGGAGGCAGCAGUGGGGAAUAUUGGACAAUGGGCGCAAGCCUGAUCCAGCCAUACCGCGUGGGUGAAGAAGGCCUUCGGGUUGUAAAGCCCUUUUGUUGGGAAAGAAAUCCAGCUGGCUAAUACCCGGUUGGGAUGACGGUACCCAAAGAAUCAGCACCGGCUAACUUCGUGCCAGCCGCCGCGGUAA